CCUCUACACAGGAGUUAAAUCCUACGGUGUUUCUCUUCUCAUCUGACAUCUUUCAUUUAGCUCAAACCUGUCAAGGUCCAGUCCUAUGGUUGCAAACGGCAAAAUUUCAUCACUUUUAAAGUAGCUGAGUAGUAUUCCCUUGGGGUGGAGAGAGAGAGAGAAGGAAUAAGCCUUGCAUAUUUUCAGCAGGAAGGAAUUGAUGGAGGAAGCAAGAAUCAAACUGCAUUUCAUAUUUUAGGCUCUACUUCUUUAGGAACCUGAGGACCACCCCUAUGGGGCCACCAGCUGCCACCCAACAGCAUGGCUUUGAGGGAUGAACUCCCUGAGUCUGCUCCCAAGGGACGUCCCUGCUGGCAUCUGGACAGCAAUCGGUUAACAGCACGUGCCACCUUCCCGCCCUCACAAACUUCUUUGUGACACGUCAGGCUAUAAUUCUCCCUAAUAAAAUAAUG
This is a long non-coding RNA of Talpa occidentalis (Iberian mole), 452 nucleotides long. RefSeq lists it as uncharacterized. The transcript has 3 exons. NCBI's taxonomy places the organism in Eukaryota, Metazoa, Chordata, Mammalia, Eulipotyphla, Talpidae. The record is from RefSeq and is a predicted model, not a curated record.